CAGCAGCCACGGGAAUACGUAGGUGGCAAGCGUUGUCCGGAAUUAUUGGGCGUAAAGGGCUCGCAGGCGGUUUCUUAAGUCUGAUGUGAAAGCCCCCGGCUCAACCGGGGAGGGUCAUUGGAAACUGGGAAACUUGAGUGCAGAAGAGGAGAGUGGAAUUCCACGUGUAGCGGUGAAAUGCGUAGGGAUGUGGAGGAACACCAGUGGCGAAGGCGACUCUCUGGUAUGUAACUGACGCUGAGGAGCGAAAGCGUGGGGAGCGAACAGGAUUAGAUACCCCAGUAGUCCCUGUCUCUUAUAC
Molecule: ribosomal RNA, 301 nt
Filed under: uncultured bacterium
Lineage: Bacteria
Description: partial 16S ribosomal RNA
Rfam family: Bacterial small subunit ribosomal RNA
Source: RNAcentral